RNAcentral lists this ribosomal RNA (497 nucleotides) under uncultured bacterium. RNAcentral describes it as "partial 16S ribosomal RNA". It matches the Rfam family "Bacterial small subunit ribosomal RNA", at positions 28 to 507 of the family's 1533-position model. The record is from RNAcentral.
GAUGAACGCUGGCGGCGUGCCUAAUACAUGCAAGUCGAGCGAACAGACGAUGAGCUUGCUCCUCUGACGUUAGCGGCGGACGGGUGAGUAACACGUGGAUAAUCUACCUAUAAGACUGGGAUAACUUCGGGAAACCGGCGCUAAUACCGGAUAAUAUAUUGAAGCGCAUGGUUCAAUAGUGAAAGACGGCUUUGCUGGCACUACUAGAUGGAUCCGCGCCGCAUUAGCUAGUUGGUAAGGUAACGGCUUACCAAGGCGACGAUGCGUAGCCGACCUGAGAGGGUGAUCGGCCACACUGGAACUGAGACACGGUCCAGACUCCUACGGGAGGCAGCAGUAGGGAAUCUUCCGCAAUGGGCGAAAGCCUGACGGAGCAACGCCGCGUGAGUGAUGAAGGUCUUCGGAUCGUAAAACUCUGUUAUUAGGGAAGAACAAAUGUGUAAGUAACUAUGCACGUCUUGACGGUACCUAAUCAGAAAGCCACGGCUAACUACGUG